This 350-nucleotide ribosomal RNA is filed under the name uncultured bacterium. RNAcentral's name for it is "partial 16S ribosomal RNA". It matches the Rfam family "Bacterial small subunit ribosomal RNA", at positions 355 to 722 of the family's 1533-position model. The record is from RNAcentral.
UGGGGGAUAUUGCACAAUGGAGGAAACUCUGAUGCAGCAACGCCGCGUGAAGGAUGAAGGUCUUCGGAUUGUAAACUUUUGUACUUGGGGACGAUAAUGACGGUACCCAAGCAGCAAGCUCCGGCUAACUACGUGCCAGCAGCCGCGGUAAUACGUAGGGAGCAAGCGUUGUCCGGAUUUACUGGGUGUAAAGGGUGCGUAGGCGGCUAUGCAAGUCAGUUGUGAAAACUAUGGGCUCAACCCAUAGCCUGCAAUUGAAACUGCGUGGCUUGAGUGAAGUAGAGGUAGGUGGAAUUCCCGGUGUAGCGGUGAAAUGCGUAGAGAUCGGGAGGAACACCAGUGGCGAAGGC